Molecule: ribosomal RNA, 250 nt
Filed under: uncultured prokaryote
Description: partial 16S ribosomal RNA
Rfam family: Bacterial small subunit ribosomal RNA
Source: RNAcentral
UACGUAGGUGGCAAGCGUUGUCCGGAAUGACUGGGUGUAAAGGGUGCGUAGGCGGGACUGCAAGUCAGGUGUGAAAUACCGUAGCUUAACUACGGGGCUGCACUUGAAACUGUAGUUCUUGAGUAGAGGAGAGGUAAGCGGAAUUCCCAGUGUAGCGGUGAAAUGCGUAGAUAUUGGGAGGAACACCAGUGGCGAAGGCGGCUUACUGGACUCAAACUGACGCUGAGGCACGAAAGUGUGGGGAGCAAAC